This is a non-coding RNA of Triticum aestivum (bread wheat), 67 nucleotides long. The record is from Rfam. Lineage: Eukaryota; Viridiplantae; Streptophyta; Magnoliopsida; Poales; Poaceae.
UUGGCAUAAUGAGGAAGAUAAUUGUUCUUUGGUCUAUUUGAUGCUAAUAUCCUCCUGCUCAUUCUGA